AUGGAUGAUUUAACGUUUGGAAACGGCAUCAGACUGAACGUGCUGCCAAGCGAAUCGUCCCCGUCAAAGCCAAAUCUGGCGGUUCUGAGUCCGCUGCUGCCUCGCAACUGGGUUGGCGACCCAAAGGACCUGCCCCCCGAGGUUUGUCUGGCCACCAACUUCCGUCCGAGACAGGGUCAGAUGGUUCUGAAUGUUAACAAUGGGCCGGACUUUGUGAACACCAGCAGCGCGGUUCUGUCCAAAAAACAGAAAAGCUACGUCUUCGCUGGAUUCAGCAACAGAACCAUUUACUCCUGUGAGCUGCACGACUCCGUGUCCAACAACGAACAAAUUGACCUCUGUGACGACAUCUAUCCUGGAAAAGCUAGGCUCAACUUCCUUCUGCUGCUGAUGAAUGGAGCCCGACUUGUGUUCACUAAGACUCUGGCCUUCAACACCGUUCUGACCAUCAGAGCCAUGAUGUUCUAAGGCCCGCUGGACCCGGACCCAGUUGGCUGAUGGAUCUGAGGGUCGCAUGGCCACCAAACGGUUGAGAAACAACCACAGAUACGAUGAGAACAAAUCGUCAUUAUUUGGUUCUGCUUUGAUCGACUCGACUCGAGUGAAUUAGGAUUUGACGUUGAUCUUUUCUGCUAGUUUUAGUUUUGUUUGUCACUAAUUAAACGUUUUACAUUUAAAAACAAUGAAACAGACUGAGUCUUGAUUUUUGAGCUUUGGUGCCCUUCUUGUGUGGACCUGACCUGUGCAGGACCAGCACUCAAACCCGCAACCUUGACCCAAUGGUGUGUGAGCCAUGUGGUAAGUUAGCGCCAGCAGCUGGAUGGUGGUUCUGCUCAUACUUCUUCAGCUCAGGGUCCAGUUUUCUGUUGCUAAUGUCUUGUGGUUUUGUUUUCUUUGUGUGUGUUGACAAUAAAUCGACUUCACCUCAGACUCUAGUUUGUCUC
RNAcentral lists this long non-coding RNA (944 nucleotides) under Betta splendens (Siamese fighting fish). Its description in RNAcentral is "lncRNA (ENSBSLG00000020875.1)". The record is from RNAcentral. Lineage: Eukaryota; Metazoa; Chordata; Actinopteri; Anabantiformes; Osphronemidae.